RNAcentral lists this ribosomal RNA (959 nucleotides) under Salmonella enterica subsp. enterica serovar Braenderup. RNAcentral's name for it is "partial 23S ribosomal RNA". It matches the Rfam family "Bacterial large subunit ribosomal RNA", at positions 1273 to 2215 of the family's 2925-position model. The record is from RNAcentral. Lineage: Bacteria; Pseudomonadati; Pseudomonadota; Gammaproteobacteria; Enterobacterales; Enterobacteriaceae.
CUGGAGGUAUCAGAAGUGCGAAUGCUGACAUAAGUAACGAUAAAGCGGGUGAAAAGCCCGCUCGCCGGAAGACCAAGGGUUCCUGUCCAACGUUAAUCGGGGCAGGGUGAGUCGACCCCUAAGGCGAGGCCGAAAGGCGUAGUCGAUGGGAAACGGGUUAAUAUUCCCGUACUUGGUGUUACUGCGAAGGGGGGACGGAGAAGGCUAUGUUGGCCGGGCGACGGUUGUCCCGGUUUAAGCGUGUAGGUGUGUGUUCCAGGUAAAUCCGGUUCACUUUAACACUGAGGCGUGACGACGAGGCACUACGGUGCUGAAGCAACAAAUGCCCUGCUUCCAGGAAAAGCCUCUAAGCAUCAGGUAACAUCAAAUCGUACCCCAAACCGACACAGGUGGUCAGGUAGAGAAUACCAAGGCGCUUGAGAGAACUCGGGUGAAGGAACUAGGCAAAAUGGUGCCGUAACUUCGGGAGAAGGCACGCUGACACGUAGGUGAAGUGAUUUACUCAUGGAGCUGAAGUCAGUCGAAGAUACCAGCUGGCUGCAACUGUUUAUUAAAAACACAGCACUGUGCAAACACGAAAGUGGACGUAUACGGUGUGACGCCUGCCCGGUGCCGGAAGGUUAAUUGAUGGGGUCAGCGCAAGCGAAGCUCCUGAUCGAAGCCCCGGUAAACGGCGGCCGUAACUAUAACGGUCCUAAGGUAGCGAAAUUCCUUGUCGGGUAAGUUCCGACCUGCACGAAUGGCGUAAUGAUGGCCAGGCUGUCUCCACCCGAGACUCAGUGAAAUUGAACUCGCUGUGAAGAUGCAGUGUACCCGCGGCAAGACGGAAAGACCCCGUGAACCUUUACUAUAGCUUGACACUGAACAUUGAGCCUUGAUGUGUAGGAUAGGUGGGAGGCUUUGAAGCGUGGACGCCAGUCUGCGUGGAGCCGACCUUGAAAUACCACCCUUUAAUGUUU